AUGCAUCUACGAGCGCUCCUCUCCGUCCUAGCAGCGACAUGCUUGCUGCUGCACCAAUUGACCACGCCGGCGGCGGCGGCCGUGGCGACGUGUUCGCCAAAGGCUUGCGGUAACGUGACCAUCCAGUACCCGUUCUGGCUCACGGACGCCGCCCAGCCCGCGCCGUGCGGCCCGUCGGCGUUCCAGGUGGACUGCCGCGGCGGGCGCGCGUCGCUGGCCCGCUCCUUCCGCGGCGGGUACAAGCUCCUCAGCGUCUCCUACGCCGACCGCGCCGUGGUCGUGGCCAACGACAACGUGCAGACGGACGACGCCGGCUGCCCCGUGCCCAAGAUCGACGUCUCCGCCAGCCUCAGCCUCGCGCCCUUCUCCGCCAGCGCCGCCAACCGCCAGCUCCUCUUCCUCUUCAACUGCACGAACCCCGCGGCGGCCGGGUUCGUCGACGUCAUCUGCCCCGGGACGACUGCCGUGGUUCGGCUCGACGCGCGGUACAACAACACCGACGCGAGGGCCGUGGCUGCCGGGUGCGACUACGCCGUGGUGCCGGUGGCCGGGUCCACGUCGCCGGGCGCCAGCGCUGGGGUGGAGUACCCGCGGCUGCUGAGGGAAGGGUACCUUCUGCAGUGGAGGGCGCCGGCCGGGGACUGCGGCACGUGCGGCGCUAGCGGCGGCCAGUGCGGGUACGACUCCGACGCCGAGGCGUUCGCGUGCGUUUGCGCCGACGGCUCAUCGCGACCGGCGAGAUGCGAUGGGAAGAAAUCCAGCAACAAGGUCAUCCUGAUAGUAUCACUCUCUGUCACGAUUGGUCUGAUCCUGUUGGCAUGCCUCGUCAUCGCCUUGAAGUUUCAUCGACAAAUCCGCAGCAUGAGUUUUGUAUCCAACAUCAUGGACAAAAACAUCAAAGCUGACAACGCAAACGUUGAGAAGCUGAUCAAGAAGUACGGCUCCCUGGCUCCCCGGAGGUACAGGUACUCGGAGCUUAAGAAGAUAACCAGCAAUUUCAAGCACAAGCUCGGCGAAGGCGGCUACGGCGCGGUGUUCCUCGGCACUCUCGGUGACCGGCGGGCGGUCGCCGUCAAGUUCCUGCACCACUCCAGGCCCAACGGCGAGGAUUUCCUCAACGAGGUGAUCAGCAUCGGCCGGACGUCCCACGUCAACAUCGUCACCUUGCUCGGGUUCUGCCUCGAGGGCUCCAAGCGCGCCCUCGUCUACGAGCACAUGCCCAACGGCUCCCUCGACAGGUACAUCUACUCGUCACCGUCGUCGAAGCCAGAGCCCCCGGCGACAAGACUCGAAUGGGAGACGCUUCAGGAGAUCGCGUCGGGGGUGGCACGGGGGCUGGAGUACCUGCACGAGGGGUGCAACACGCGCAUCAUCCACUUCGACGUGAAGCCGCACAACGUGCUGCUGGAUGAAGGGUUCCGGCCCAAGGUGGCCGACUUCGGAAUGGCCAAGCUGUGCGACCCCACGGAGAGCAUCCUGUCCAUGGCCGACGCCAGGGGCACCGUGGGGUUCAUCGCGCCGGAGGUCUUCUCCCGGGGGUUUGGGGUCGUGUCCGCCAAGUCCGACGUGUAUAGCUACGGGAUGCUGCUGCUGGAGAUGGUCGGGGGCCGGAGCAACGUCAAGGCCUACGCCGCCGCCAAGGAGACCGACAUGUUCUUCCCGCUCUGGAUCUACGAUCACCUGCUCGGCAACGGCGGCGUGCUGGUCGCGCGACAGGAGGGUGGAGGCGACGCCGAGGAGGAGACCAUCGCGAGGAAAAUGGCGUUGGUCGGGCUGUGGUGCAUACAGACCGUUCCGGCGAGCCGGCCGUCGAUGGCCAAAGUGCUGGAGAUGCUGGAGAGGAGCAUCGACGAGCUGGCCAUGCCGCCGAGGCCGUACCACCCUUCUUCUCCUUCCAACUCUCCUUCUCUGUCGCACUCACUGCCGUCGAGCUAUCCAUCUUCUGCAUCGGGCUUCACUCAAGGAUCAAGAUCGUUUACAACAGAGAGCACAAAAUAA
This 1998-nucleotide ribosomal RNA is filed under the name Triticum aestivum (bread wheat). RNAcentral's name for it is "partial small subunit ribosomal RNA". The record is from RNAcentral. Lineage: Eukaryota; Viridiplantae; Streptophyta; Magnoliopsida; Poales; Poaceae.